GAUGAAGUGCCUGAUUGAAAAGGGCUAUUUUGAUAGAAUAGAUUAUGUGAAAACCGCCUUCAUUA
Molecule: transfer RNA, 65 nt
Filed under: Monotomidae sp. KM-2017
Lineage: Eukaryota; Metazoa; Arthropoda; Insecta; Coleoptera; Monotomidae
Description: tRNA-Ile
Source: RNAcentral